AUGCACGCUGGCGGCGUGCCUAAUACCUGCAAGUCGAGCGAACAGACGAGGAGCUUGCUCCUCUGACGUUAGCGGCGGACGGGUGAGUAACACGUGGAUAACCUACAUAUAAGACUGGGAUAACUUCGGGAAACCGGAGCUAAUACCGGAUAAUAUAUUGAACCGCAUGGUUCAAUAGUGAAAGACGGUUUUGCUGUCACUUAUAGAUGGAUCCGCGCCGCAUUAGCUAGUUGGUAAGGUAACGGCUUACCAAGGCAACGAUGCGUAGCCGACCUGAGAGGGUGAUCGGCCACACUGGAACUGAGACACGGUCCAGACUCCUACGGGAGGCAGCAGUAGGGAAUCUUCCGCAAUGGGCGAAAGCUUGACGGAGCAACGCCGCGUGAGUGAUGAAGGUCUUCGGAUCGUAAAACUCUGUUAUUAGGGAAGAACAAAUGUGUAAGUAACUAUGCACGUCUUGACGGUACCUAAUCAGAAAGCCACGGCUAACUACGUG
Molecule: ribosomal RNA, 496 nt
Filed under: uncultured bacterium
Lineage: Bacteria
Description: partial 16S ribosomal RNA
Rfam family: Bacterial small subunit ribosomal RNA
Source: RNAcentral